Non-coding RNA from Candidatus Brocadia fulgida, 88 nucleotides. The record is from Rfam. Lineage: Bacteria; Pseudomonadati; Planctomycetota; Candidatus Brocadiia; Candidatus Brocadiales; Candidatus Brocadiaceae.
CCUGAUGUAUUCCCAUCAGUACCCUAAGGAGGCAUGCUACCAUUGUGCUGAUGAUGAGGUGUGAAGCCCUCCCGACAAGAAUGGGAGG